UCGAAGUGGCGUUGUGAUGAAUCCUGGAAUUAUAUCGGGUUGAAACUCGGAAUCAACCUUAUCGAAUCCUAUCGAAAAUUUUUGGAUAGCACUGACAAAUAAUCCAUUUUGUUACCGAACAGCUGUGGCCGUGAUCUGUUACAGAGGAUUAUCCGUGACGAACGUAACGAACUCGACGAGUUUCCCUGGGUGGCAUUAUUGGAAUAUUAAAAACACCACGGGACAGCACGUGCCGGUAUCUUAAUAAAUAAAUGCUACAUCCUUGCUAUCGCUCAUUGCGUCAAAGGGCUAAUCAGUCAACCAGCGCCUGUCCAGCGUUCCAUGGAAUAAUACGACACCAACA
Molecule: long non-coding RNA, 343 nt
Organism: Cyphomyrmex costatus
Lineage: Eukaryota; Metazoa; Arthropoda; Insecta; Hymenoptera; Formicidae
Exons: 2
Source: RefSeq, a predicted model, not a curated record